This is a non-coding RNA of Pogona vitticeps (central bearded dragon), 532 nucleotides long. The record is from RefSeq and is a predicted model, not a curated record. Lineage: Eukaryota; Metazoa; Chordata; Lepidosauria; Squamata; Agamidae.
UUGGUGGACCUUGGGCUUGGGGGUGGAGGAAGAAAAAAAAGAUACAGGUAUGCUGAAAUCUGCCCUUCCCUUGUGGCCGGACUGACGUGAAGAACAAGUUUUCAUUCCCCUUCCUUUCCAUGUACAAACCAGCUGGGCUGGCAGUUGAAUCUUUACUGGUGGUCGGAUAAUCAUUCCCAGCACAGCUAGAAGAAACAGACUCACUAACAGGGCACGAAGGAAACUGCAAGCGUGAAUGCAUCUCUGUUCAUGUUGGCCAAGCUGGAGUGCAGAUUGGCAAUGCUUGUUGGGAACUCUUCUGCCUGGAGCAUGGAAUCCAGCCAGAUGGCACCUUCAAGGAAAAUACCAUCAGCAAUUGUGACGACUCCUUUGCAACAUUCUUCAGAGAGACAGGCACUGGGAAACAUGUGCCACGGGCUGUCAUGGUGGAUUUGGAGCAAACUGUAGUUGAGCUUUUGCAGAAGCUCUAGAAUAUUCCAAAGAGGUUCCGGGCAGGUGCGGAUCACCCACAGAGGUCCACUCGAAGAACUAC